RNAcentral lists this ribosomal RNA (211 nucleotides) under uncultured bacterium. RNAcentral describes it as "partial 16S ribosomal RNA". It matches the Rfam family "Bacterial small subunit ribosomal RNA", at positions 568 to 774 of the family's 1533-position model. The record is from RNAcentral.
CACGUAGGUGGCGAGAUAAGUCAAAGGUGAAAGCCCUCGGCUCAACCGAGGAACUGCCUUUGUAAACUAGUUUUGUCUUGAGUUCAGGAGGGGGGAGGCGGAAUUCCCAGUGUAGCGGUGAAAUGCGUAGAUACUGGGAGGAACAUCGGUGGCGAAGGCGGCUCCCUGGACUGAUACUGACACUGAGGUGCGAAAGCGUGGGUAGCAAACA